RNAcentral lists this ribosomal RNA (501 nucleotides) under uncultured bacterium. RNAcentral describes it as "partial 16S ribosomal RNA". It matches the Rfam family "Bacterial small subunit ribosomal RNA", at positions 30 to 523 of the family's 1533-position model. The record is from RNAcentral.
AUUGAACGCUGGCGGCAGGCUUAACACAUGCAAGUCGAGCGGAGAUGAGGUGCUUGCACCUUAUCUUAGCGGCGGACGGGUGAGUAAUGCUUAGGAAUCUGCCUAUUAGUGGGGGACAACAUUCCGAAAGGAAUGCUAAUACCGCAUACGUCCUACGGGAGAAAGCAGGGGAUCUUCGGACCUUGCGCUAAUAGAUGAGCCUAAGUCGGAUUAGCUCGUUGGUGGGGUAAAGGCCUACCAAGGCGACGAUCUGUAGCGGGUCUGAGAGGAUGGUCCUGCACACUGGGACUGGGGAACGGCCGGGACUCCUACGGGAGGCAGCAGUGGGGAAUAUUGGACAAUGGGGGGAACCCUGAUCUAGCCAUGCCGCGUGUGUGAAGAAGGCCUUAUGGUUGUAAAGCACUUUAAGCGAGGAGGAGGCUACUGAGACUAAUACUCUUGGAUAGUGGACGUUACUCGCAGAAUAAGCACCGGCUAACUCUGUGCCAGCCGCCGCAGUAA